RNAcentral lists this ribosomal RNA (770 nucleotides) under uncultured bacterium. RNAcentral describes it as "bacterial SSU rRNA". It matches the Rfam family "Bacterial small subunit ribosomal RNA", at positions 8 to 795 of the family's 1533-position model. The record is from RNAcentral.
AGAGUUUGAUCCUGGCUCAGAACGAACGCUGGCGGCGUGUCUAAGGCAUGCAAGUCGAACGUGUUGUGCCGCAAGGUACAGCAAGUGGCAAACGGGUGCCUAACACAUUGGUAACCUGCCUCCGACUCGGGUACAACCUGGAGAAAUCCGGGCUAAUCCCCGAUGAUCAUCCCGACGGUAUCCGUCGGGAUGUAAAGGUGCAAAUCGGUCGGAGAGGGGCCUAUGGUCUAUCAGCUAGUUGGUAGGGUAAUGGCCUACCAAGGCGACGACGGAUAGCGGGCGUGAGAGCGCGACCCGCCUCACUGGGACUGAGACACUGCCCAGACUCCUACGGGAGGCUGCAGUCAAGGAUCUUCCCCAAUGGCCGAAAGGCUGAGGGAGCGACGCCGCGUGCAGGAAGAAGCUCUUCGGAGUGUAAACUGCUUUUUUGUGGGAAAAACUAAUGAUGGUACCACAAGAAUAAGGGGCUGCUAACUUCGUGCCAGCAGCAGCGGUAAUACGAAGGCCCCGAGCGUUAUCCGGAUUUAUUGGGCGUAAAGAGCUCAAAGGUGGCUGAUCAGGUCUUUGGUUAAAUCCUGAUGCUCAACAUCAGAACUGCUAAGGAAACUAGUCAGCUUGAGGGCAGGAGAGGCAGACGGAAUUGCCGGUGUAGUAGUAAAAUGCGUUAAUAUCGGCAAGAACACCAAUAGCGAAGGCAGUCUGCUAGAAUGACCCUGACACUACACGAGCGAAAGCGUGGGUAGCGAUACGGAUUAGAUACCCUGGUAGUC